RNAcentral lists this long non-coding RNA (407 nucleotides) under Dasypus novemcinctus (nine-banded armadillo). Its description in RNAcentral is "lncRNA (ENSDNOG00000052399.1)". The record is from RNAcentral. Lineage: Eukaryota; Metazoa; Chordata; Mammalia; Cingulata; Dasypodidae.
CGGAAGCGAUACCCGGGAAACACCUCCGCAGAGACUCUGGAGGUUGGUAGAGGCUGGAGAGGGGCUGCACAAACGCCGAAUUGAAGAAAGAGAAAAGUAUCAGGACUGAUGCUGUUAUAACUACAUUGAAAGAGAGUUUGCCAUCAAAAUGGUGUUUUUCUAGAGACAAAGAAGCUCUGAACUCCACUUGGAAUGAAAGGAGCCUCAUUAAUACUUGGUCUCCCUGCACUCUCAGUCCAUUUGGAUUCUCAUGAAUAAGGGAGAGAAUUUUAACCAGCUUUGCUGUCCUUCUGCUUAUCUGGUUGUGAGUGAAAAUCCAGAGGAAGAUAGAUGCCAGCUAAGGUUUUGGCAAUGCAAUCCCAUGUAAGUAGGUAAUUCUUUGCACCUCUGUUGCCAUCAGAUGGGAA